GACGAACGCUGGCGGCGUGCUUAACACAUGCAAGUCGAACGGAAAGGCCCUGCUUUUGUGUGGUGCUCGAGUGGCGAACGGGUGAGUAACACGUGAGUAACCUGCCCUUGACUUUGGGAUAACUUCAGGAAACUGGGGCUAAUACCGGAUAGGAGCUCCUGCUGCAUGGUGGGGGUUGGAAAGUUUCGGCGGUUGGGGAUGGACUCGCGGCUUAUCAGCUUGUUGGUGGGGUAGUGGCUUACCAAGGCUUUGACGGGUAGCCGGCCUGAGAGGGUGACCGGCCACAAUGGGACUGAGGUACGGCCCAGACUGCUACGGGAGGCAGUAGUGGGGAGUAUUGCACAAUGGGCGGAAGCCUGAUGCAGCAACGCCGCGUGCGGGAUGACGGCCUUCGGGUGGUAAACCGCUUUCGCCUGUGACGAAGCGUGAGUGACGGUAAUGGGUAAAGAAGCACCGGCUAACUACGUG
RNAcentral lists this ribosomal RNA (468 nucleotides) under uncultured bacterium. Its description in RNAcentral is "partial 16S ribosomal RNA". It matches the Rfam family "Bacterial small subunit ribosomal RNA", at positions 28 to 507 of the family's 1533-position model. The record is from RNAcentral.